UAUAAUUUUAUCACACUCCCUUUACCUACCCAACUUUUCAGAUCUUAAAUUUAUUUAAAUAUUAUGACUAGAAUUCCCAAAAUCAUUUAGAAUAUACAUGUGUGAUUUAACAUGGGAACAUGGGUUGUCAUGCCCAUCUGCUGUGUAAAAUCUAAAAACUUCUGUCAAAGCUUAAUAUGUCAUGAGCUAGAAGUAGCAUUCUAAUGCAGAGUGGUCAGAGUGUAUGAAGAGGAUCACAAGCCAGGCACAGCGUGAUCACCUUCAGUCCCAGGUACCAGUUGCCUAAAGUGGGAGAAUUGCAUGUUUAAAGCUUUUGAGACACAUGGUGAAUUCAUGACCAGCCUGAGCUCUGUAGCAAGACCAUGUCCCAAAAUGAAAACAAUAACAAAACAUCUUAACACUGAGCAAUUUUGUGGUAGGAAACCCAGCUAAAUGCUUUAUGAGUGUUCUUGUUGAAUUGUCCCAGUAUGUCCUGUGAGAUGAGUAUAUUUUGAUCACCAUCUUAUGAUUGAGGGAUUUAGGUGUGGAGAUGAAAUAAUGGGUAGCUGAUAAAUAUUGUCCAUAUGUCAGAAGAAAAUUGUUUACUGAUGUAAUAAUGUUUACAGUUACAUGAAUAAUUGUGUCUUUGACUUAGUCUUAUAUAAAUUCUUAAAAAUCCUCAUUUCUACAGAUCACCUAUGCAUUAUGCUUGUGCAUAUGGCCAUCCUGAUAUAGUGACCAUCCUACUACGCUGGAAUUGUGACAUUGAGCUCCGUGACAGUUACAAAAGCACAGCACUAAUUAAGAAGUGACCUGACAAGUCAAGUUGAUAGAGCACUAUCUACCAUCUGCCAACCCAUGGCAGAACAAGGAUCUUUUAAGGACUGGGACCUGCAGCUCUGAGGAAUGUCUGCCCCAUGCCUAAAUCACAAGCACAGUUGAGACUUAUCCUGAACCCACCAGGAUUUCGGUUUGUGAGGUCUGGUUGGAGCAGGCUACCCUAACUUUGGUCCCAUCUGCCAAGCUGCAUGGGUACAAGACAGAGGUGAGAGAGAGGAUCCUCCACCAAUCCACACCUUCACAAACUGAAGAGCAGAUCCAGAGGCAGAGAUGAGUUUAGACUUAGGGAACAGGUGGUGGACAUCUGAUAACCUAAGCUACAGAUCUAUACAAGAGGACAGGAGGUCAGCACCCAUCCUGCUACAGUCACCCCUGAGAGGCAGAAGGCCCUCCAACUGCCCCAUCCUCUAGCCAGUCUUCCUGUCUCUGAUAAACUAGGAGUCCACAACUACCACACCCUUGCAGUUAUCAUGCUGUGCCAGAUGCUGUCGGAGUUCAUGACUCCAUAGGUAGCUAGGAAUGCUGGUGGCCUCCUUCCUUGUAAAGCUUCCAUGGCAGCUUGUGGUAUGAUGAAAGCUAGUCUUUAGAAGGAACCUUUCAGGUCAGUUCCAGCUUAGGAGCCUCUGGGCCCUGUUCCUGAUUACAUGUUGUCUUCAGCAAUAGGGACUUACCUUCCACCUUGAGGGGUCAACCAAGGGCAAGAGCAACAGGCUAACCCAUGUGCAAACACGUAGGCAUGUGCAUGUGCACAUGCACACACACAGAUAAACAUGCGUGCACACAAGCAUACACAUGCACACAAAGAGGCCUGCUCAUGUCUGGUAUUGAGAUUUUUGUUGAGUGGUCUCGGCUCUUGGAAGGGACAGUGAACAUUCACUUCUUGCUCAGCAGGAGUUUGCUGAAUGGCAACUAGGUAGAUCUCUGACAAGGUGUGGAGACUGGCAGCCUGGUUUGGAUACCAGAUCUCUUGCUCCCUAUGUUGAACAACUGCUAAACACAAGGUGACACUCCCUUAUUCCUAGACAGGUUUCAUGACAGCUUCACCUGGUGGCCCUGACACAGGGUUUUUCAGAGAGGCUUGUAGGGCUCUGGCCCAGGUGCAUAAGCACAUAAAUAUGGUCUUGUGCCUAAAUGGUCUUUCUUUUGCAGUUGGUUUUUUGAGAAGGUCUCACUGUUUAGCUCAGCCUGGCCCAUAAUUCAUUGUUUGCCAGGAUGGCCUUGCACUGCAGGCAGUCAUUGUUCCUCAGCCUUCAGUCAGCCAGACAUCUAAACAGCCAGCUUGAUUCUAGGACAGCUUAAUGGCAUUUCCUGACUUCAGUGCCACCCUCCCCUUUCUCUUCCUCUACAGCCAUGGCAAAUACCCCUGGACAGAUCCAGAAUGCUUUCAACUCACUUUGCCUCUGUGUGUGCUAUAUACCCCCACCCAUGAAAGCAUCUCAGAAAGCUACACUUACAGUGUUGUGAGGGCCCAUGGCCUACAGUGAGGUCCAUGUGGAGGUUGGCUGACCCAGCUCGCCCAGCACUGAUAUGACAGUGAGCCUAAUCUCACUGACUGUCUAAUCAUGGCACUAACAUGUAGCACCAUAAGCACUGAGCUGGCUCUGCAGAGAUGCCAAAGGGUUGGCUGCCCCAUGGAAAUCCUCAGCCUGCUGUGAGUGCCAGAGAGACUGCAGUGGUGAGGGCUGGGAUAUGCUAUCAGAAGGGCCUCUUGUUAGCAUGUGGCCUACAGCUGUGGGUGUGGUUGAGGGGCCUGUGUGUCAAUGCAUUUACCCAGGUAUGUAAAAUGUUCAGAGGCACAUGGAUCACAGCUCGUGGGAGCCUAAUGCAGGACUAUUGUUACAAGUUGAGAAUUUAUUCAAAUAAAAUAAACAAGUAAGAAAAUUAAAAGCAGAAACAAGUGUGGCUGUGUGGGUUUGCAAGACAGACAAUGGUUCACAUACAAGUGUGUGAGGACACAUGAGUGGGUGCACAAAUGUCUGCGUGCCUAUGAACAUGCACUUUGUGCAUGGAUAUGUGUGCAUGUUUGGCACAUCCAUGGUAAGACUGUAUGUAUGUGCUGGAGGGGUUGAGCACAUAUGCAAGGUUCCCACACAAGCACGCUCGUGUAUACAAGUAUAAGAAUUUGGGAAUACGUGUACACUUAUAUCUUCUAGGAUGUUUAAGACCACAUAGGCACCUGUGCUAGAUAGUUUUAUGACUACUUGACACAAGCUAGAGUCAAUGGAAGGAGUUAUCCUCAACUGAGAAAAAGCCUCCAUAAAAUAUAGCUGUAGGUAAA
Molecule: long non-coding RNA, 3097 nt
Organism: Mesocricetus auratus (golden hamster)
Lineage: Eukaryota; Metazoa; Chordata; Mammalia; Rodentia; Cricetidae
Exons: 4
Source: RefSeq, a predicted model, not a curated record